This 547-nucleotide ribosomal RNA is filed under the name Agroathelia coffeicola. RNAcentral's name for it is "eukaryotic LSU rRNA". It matches the Rfam family "Eukaryotic large subunit ribosomal RNA", at positions 41 to 590 of the family's 3401-position model. The record is from RNAcentral. Lineage: Eukaryota; Fungi; Basidiomycota; Agaricomycetes; Amylocorticiales; Amylocorticiaceae.
UAUCAAUAAGCGGAGGAAAAGAAACUAACAAGGAUUCCCCUAGUAACUGCGAGUGAAGCGGGAAAAGCUCAAAUUUAAAAUCUGGUAGUCUUUGGCUGCUCGAGUUGUAAUCUGGAGAAGUGUUUUCUGUACUAGGCCGUGUAAAAGUCUCUUGGAAUAGAGCGUCAUAGAGGGUGAGAAUCCCGUCUUUGACACGGACAUCUAGUGCUCUGUGAUGCACUCUCAAAGAGUCGAGUUGUUUGGGAAUGCAGCUCAAAAUGGGUGGUAAAUUCCAUCUAAAGCUAAAUAUUGGCAAGAGACCGAUAGCGAACAAGUACCGUGAGGGAAAGAUGAAAAGAACUUUGGAAAGAGAGUUAAACAGUACGUGAAAUUGUUGAAAGGGAAACGCUUGAAGUCAGUCGCGUCUAGCAAGGAUCAGCCUUUCUCGGAAGGUGUAUUUCUUACUUGACGGGUCAACAUCAAUUUUGACUACUGGAAAAAGAUUAGAGGAAGGUGGCACCUUUGGUGUGUUAUAGCCUUUAGUCAUAUACAGUAGUUGGGAUUGAGG